GUAUUAAAGGUCCUGCCUGCCCAGUGAUAAUUUUAACGGCCGCGGUAUUCUAACCGUGCAAAGGUAGCGUAAUCACUUGUCUUCUAAAUAAAGACUCGUAUGAACGGCUAAAUGAGGACAAACCUGUCUCUUAUAACUAAUCAGUGAAACUAAUCUUCCAGUACAAAAGCUGGAAUACUAACAUAAGACGAGAAGACCCUGUGGAGCUUUAAACCAAUCACUAACACCAAAGUCUAGUGUACGGUUUUAAGUUGGGGCGACUUUGGAAUAAAGCAAAACUUCCAAGAACAGAACCACACAUUCCAAUUAAGGCUGACAAGCCAAAACCCAUGACCCAGUAAUACUGAUCAACGAACCAAGUUACCCCAGGGAUAACAGCGCCAUCUUCUUCAAGAGUCCCUAUCGACAAGAAGGUUUACGACCUCGAUGUUGGAUCAGGACACCCAAAUGGUGCAGCCGCUAUUAAAGGUUCGUUUGUUCAACGAUUAAUAGUCCUACGUGAUCUGAGUU
Molecule: ribosomal RNA, 510 nt
Filed under: Scelotes sp. 2 DGM-2011
Lineage: Eukaryota; Metazoa; Chordata; Lepidosauria; Squamata; Scincidae
Description: partial 16S ribosomal RNA
Rfam family: Bacterial large subunit ribosomal RNA
Source: RNAcentral